AAUAUUCCAACAAAGAAAAGAAAGAGAUGUUAGUGACUUAGGUAAAUUAUCCAUGGUUUCUUUAUUUUUUUUUUUCAUUUGUUUUGAUUAUAAGUUAUAUGUGGUAAUGCAUGAUUUCAUUAUAUUUUUGUAUUCAAUUGCUUUGAUUAUAAGUUAUAUCUGAUAAUGCAUGAUUUCUUUAUUUUUUUGUUUUCAAUUGUUUUGAUUAUAAGUUAUAUUUGAUAUUUGAUGGUUUCCUUGGUUUAUUACAGGUUAGACAUGGCUGAUGACCAACAUGAGGAAGUUAGUAAAGUAUCCGCGGAAGAAGAAAUCCGAAGAGGCAUCACAGUAAUGCGAAGGGUGGUCCAAGGAAGAUCUCGAGGCAUCAUACUAGAUGUCUCUUGGAACAACCAGGGACAACUUAUAGAACCUAAUGGGCAUACCUUAACUAGUUUCAUCGGUGCACUAGUAAGGAAUGAAAUUCCCAUUACAUGUGAUGAUUGGAGAAAUAAAGAGUUGAAAGAGUCCAAAGAAAAAAUUUGGAGUGAGAUAAAGGUACAAUCAUUUGGCCCUUAAUUAUACGGUAUCAAUUAUGUUUUUUUCAAUUACCGAUACUAACUAUCAAUCUGUAUGUUUUUCUUAGCGAUGUUUUAACAUCGAAGAAGAAAGAAGAGGGUUUUGUAUGAAAUUG
Molecule: long non-coding RNA, 670 nt
Filed under: Lathyrus oleraceus (garden pea)
Lineage: Eukaryota; Viridiplantae; Streptophyta; Magnoliopsida; Fabales; Fabaceae
Description: Pisum sativum (pea) long non-coding RNA (PSAT_LNC013200)
Source: RNAcentral